Molecule: unclassified non-coding RNA, 335 nt
Filed under: soil metagenome
Description: partial contains 5.8S ribosomal RNA, internal transcribed spacer 2, and large subunit ribosomal RNA
Rfam family: 5.8S ribosomal RNA (bases 1-120)
Source: RNAcentral
GAUGAAGAACGUAGCGAAAUGCGAUAAGUAAUGUGAAUUGCAGAAUUCAGUGAAUCAUCGAAUCUUUGAACGCACACUGCGCCCGCCAGUAUUCUGGCGGGCAUGCCUGUUCGAGCGUCAUUUCAACCAUCAAGCCCCAGGCUUGUGUUGGGGACCUGCGGCUGCCGCAGGCCCUGAAAACCAGUGGCGGGCUCGCUGUCACACCGGGCGUAGUAGAUUUUAUCUCGCUCAGGGCGUGCUGCGGGUUCCGGCCGUUAAAAAGCCUUUUUUACCCAAGGUUGACCUCGGAUCAGGUAGGAAGACCCGCUGAACUUAAGCAUAUCAAUAACGGAGGA